ACCAGUCAUCCAAGAUGCAUAGGAUGUGAGGAAGCCUUUCAUGGAACUACUGUCGACUUUUAUCAUAAAGCUUGGAGGCUGAAGCACAGCUUGGUAGGUCGCGCUUGUGACGAGCAUGGCAACAACCAGGAGGGCAUUGCGUAUGUCACUCAUCGACUCUUUUUCUUUCUUCAAAUUAUUCGAUGGGGAAUGUGAUAAUGAUUGAGGAGCAUUUGUGACUGGUUCACCAUCUGAUUGAUCUUCCUCUGAGAGUGGUCUUGAAGCAGGCGAGAUUGAUCUUCCUCUUUCGUGUUCAGCUCUAGCUCGUGAGAGAAUUUCUCUGCUCUCUCUAUCAUUAACAAUGACAGAUUGGGUCCUUAGACUGUACAUAUCCCCUAGGAAGUUAAAACUAGAAAGCCAUUUCAGCCAAAAAUCUAGAGCUAGCGCCAACCGCCUCUGUGCCAGUAGAAGAAGAAUGGACACAAUUACCAGCAACACGCUCAACAAUUCCAAGUUUUUCAAACCAAAUGCUUUGUCCAGUAAUGUGAACGGAAUGUAAUACGUGAUGCAAUAGUAAGUUUGAACCAGUGCAGUCACAGAGAGUAACAGUGGCCGCCUGACAGGGAGAUCUCUAGUGAGGCAAAUGAUCAUCUGGAUUGACAGCAAGAGUCCAAAUGUAUUACCGCUUAUGAAGCCAAUGCACGCGAUGUCCCUGCCAAGAGGACGACUCACCCACGAUGCAUAGUAUGCAAGGAAGCCUUUCACUGAAUCAUCAGUGACUUCUAUCGUAAAGCUUGGAGGCUGAAGCAUAGCUUGGUAGGUCGCGCUCGCAAUGAGUGUGGCGACAGCUAGCAGAGCACUACGUUUGUCACCUGGCAACUCUUUUUCUUUGUUCAAAUUUUUCGAAUUUGUGACUAGUUCCCAAUCUGAUUGGUCUUCCAUCGAGUCUAGGCUUGAAGCAGACGAGUUUGAUAUUGCUCUUUCGUGUUUGGCUCGAGUUCGUGUGAGAAUAUCUCUCAUCUCUCUCUCAUUAACAACUUGGUCCUUAGACUGUACACAUCCCCUUGGAAGUUAAACCCAGAAAGCUUUUUCAACCAAAAAUCUAAAGCUAGCGACAACCACUUUUGUGCCAAUAGAAGAAGAAUCGACAUUGUUACUGGCAGCACACUCAACAAUUCCACGUUUUUCAGACGAUACACUUUGUUUAGUAAGGUGAAUGGUAGGUAAUACGUGAAGCAAUAGUAAGUUUGAACCAGUGCGGUCACAGAAAGCAACAACGGCAACCUGACGGGGACAUCUCUGGUGAGGCAAAUGAUCAUCUGGAUCAACAGCAAGAGUCCAAACGUGUUGCCGCUUAUGAAGCCAAUGUAUGCUAUGUCCCUACCAAGAGGAUGAGUCACCCAAGAAGAAUAGUAUGCAAGGAAGCCUUUCGCUGAAUCAUAAGUGACUUUUAUCAUAAAACUUGGAGGCUGAAGCACAGCUUGGUAGGUCGUGCUUGCAAUGAGCGCGACAACAACUAGCAGGGUGUUACGCACAUCGCCUAUUGACUCUUUUUCUUGGUUGACAAUGAAGGAUUGGGUCCUUAGACUGUAUAUAUCCCCUUGGAAAUUAAACCCAGAAAGCUGUUUCAACCAAAAAUCUAAAGCUGGCACCAACCGCCUCUGUAACAGUAGAAGAAGAAUCGACAUUGUUACCGGCAGCACACUCAACAAUUCGACAUUUUUCAGACCAGACGCUUUGUUCAGUAAGGUGAACGGUAGGAAAUAUGUGAAGCAAUAGUAAGUUUGCACCAGUGCAGUCACAGACAGCAACAACAACAGCUUGACGGGGUGACCUCUGGUGAGGCAAUUGAUCAUCUGGAUCGAUAGCAAGAGUCCAAAUGUGUUGCCUCUUAUGAAGCUAAUGUACACCAUGUCCCUGCCAAGAGGAUGAGUCACCCAAGAAGAAUAAUAUGCAAGGAAGCCUUUCAUUGAAUUAUCAGCAACUUUUAUCGUAAAUCUUGGAGGCUGAAGCACAGCUUGGUAGGUCGUGCUUGCAAUGAGCGUGGCAACGACUAGCAGGGUGUUACGCACGUUGCCUAUUGACUCUCUUUCUUGGUUAACAACGAAGGAUUGGGUCCUCAGAUUGUACAUUUCCCCUAGAAGGUUAAACCGAGAAAGCCUUUCCAAGCAAAAACUAAAGCUAGUGCCAACUGCCUCUGUGCCAGUAGAAGAUGAAUUGACAUUGUUACCGGGAGCAUGCUUAACAAUUCCACGUUUUUUAGACCAAACGUUUUGUC
Molecule: long non-coding RNA, 2257 nt
Filed under: Eucalyptus grandis
Lineage: Eukaryota; Viridiplantae; Streptophyta; Magnoliopsida; Myrtales; Myrtaceae
Description: long non-coding RNA (EGRA_LNC002770)
Source: RNAcentral